Molecule: ribosomal RNA, 1311 nt
Filed under: Vibrio parahaemolyticus
Lineage: Bacteria; Pseudomonadati; Pseudomonadota; Gammaproteobacteria; Vibrionales; Vibrionaceae
Description: bacterial SSU rRNA
Rfam family: Bacterial small subunit ribosomal RNA
Source: RNAcentral
UGAUGUGGGGGAUAACCAUUGGAAACGAUGGCUAAUACCGCAUGAUGCCUACGGGCCAAAGAGGGGGACCUUCGGGCCUCUCGCGUCAGGAUAUGCCUAGGUGGGAUUAGCUAGUUGGUGAGGUAAGGGCUCACCAAGGCGACGAUCCCUAGCUGGUCUGAGAGGAUGAUCAGCCACACUGGAACUGAGACACGGUCCAGACUCCUACGGGAGGCAGCAGUGGGGAAUAUUGCACAAUGGGCGCAAGCCUGAUGCAGCCAUGCCGCGUGUGUGAAGAAGGCCUUCGGGUUGUAAAGCACUUUCAGUCGUGAGGAAGGUAGUGUAGUUAAUAGCUGCAUUAUUUGACGUUAGCGACAGAAGAAGCACCGGCUAACUCCGUGCCAGCAGCCGCGGUAAUACGGAGGGUGCGAGCGUUAAUCGGAAUUACUGGGCGUAAAGCGCAUGCAGGUGGUUUGUUAAGUCAGAUGUGAAAGCCCGGGGCUCAACCUCGGAAUUGCAUUUGAAACUGGCAGACUAGAGUACUGUAGAGGGGGGUAGAAUUUCAGGUGUAGCGGUGAAAUGCGUAGAGAUCUGAAGGAAUACCGGUGGCGAAGGCGGCCCCCUGGACAGAUACUGACACUCAGAUGCGAAAGCGUGGGGAGCAAACAGGAUUAGAUACCCUGGUAGUCCACGCCGUAAACGAUGUCUACUUGGAGGUUGUGGCCUUGAGCCGUGGCUUUCGGAGCUAACGCGUUAAGUAGACCGCCUGGGGAGUACGGUCGCAAGAUUAAAACUCAAAUGAAUUGACGGGGGGCCCGCACAAGCGGUGGAGCAUGUGGUUUAAUUCGAUGCAACGCGAAGAACCUUACCUACUCUUGACAUCCAGAGAACUUUCCAGAGAUGGAUUGGUGCCUUCGGGAACUCUGAGACAGGUGCUGCAUGGCUGUCGUCAGCUCGUGUUGUGAAAUGUUGGGUUAAGUCCCGCAACGAGCGCAACCCUUAUCCUUGUUUGCCAGCGAGUAAUGUCGGGAACUCCAGGGAGACUGCCGGUGAUAAACCGGAGGAAGGUGGGGACGACGUCAAGUCAUCAUGGCCCUUACGAGUAGGGCUACACACGUGCUACAAUGGCGCAUACAGAGGGCAGCCAACUUGCGAAAGUGAGCGAAUCCCAAAAAGUGCGUCGUAGUCCGGAUUGGAGUCUGCAACUCGACUCCAUGAAGUCGGAAUCGCUAGUAAUCGUGGAUCAGAAUGCCACGGUGAAUACGUUCCCGGGCCUUGUACACACCGCCCGUCACACCAUGGGAGUGGGCUGCAAAAGAAGUAGGUAGUUUA